Molecule: ribosomal RNA, 305 nt
Filed under: uncultured bacterium
Lineage: Bacteria
Description: bacterial SSU rRNA
Rfam family: Bacterial small subunit ribosomal RNA
Source: RNAcentral
CCUACGGGGGGCAGCAGUGGGGAAUAUUGGGCAAUGGGCGCAAGCCUGACCCAGCAACGCCGCGUGAAGGAAGAAGGCUUUCGGGUUGUAAACUUCUUUUCUCAGGGACGAAGCAAGUGACGGUAUCUUAGGAAUAAGCCACGGCCAACUACGUGCCAGCAGCCGCGGUAAUACGUAGGUGGCAAGCGUUAUCCGGAUUUACUAGGUGUAAAGGGCGUGUAGGCGGGGACGCAAGUCAGAUGUGAAAACCACGGGCUCAACCUGUGGCCUGCAUUUGAAACUGUGUUUCUUGAGUACUGGAGAGG